AUCAAAAACAGCUGGACUUGAAUCACACAUUCGAUAAGUAUUAACCAACGCAUCUAAGACCUCCAAAUGGGAUCUCCCAUUUACACUCAUUAAGUUCCCCAUAAGAGACAAGGCAUCAUCAAAUCUCUUCAAGUUGACUAGCACAUGAAUAACAGUGCAACAAGACUCCACUGAUUGCAAAAUACUCUUUUUCUCUAGAACCCAAUUAUAAAAUUCUAAAGCUAAUAGUGG
RNAcentral lists this unclassified non-coding RNA (231 nucleotides) under Hevea brasiliensis (rubber tree). Lineage: Eukaryota; Viridiplantae; Streptophyta; Magnoliopsida; Malpighiales; Euphorbiaceae. The record is from RNAcentral.